GCAUCGAUGAAGAACGUAGCAAAAUGCGAUACUUGGUGUGAAUUGCAGAAUCCCGUGAACCAUCGAGUUUUUGAACGCAAGUUGCGCCCAAAGCCAUUCGGUCGAGGGCACGUCUGCCUGGGCGUCACG
RNAcentral lists this ribosomal RNA (129 nucleotides) under Lychnophora ericoides. RNAcentral describes it as "5.8S ribosomal RNA". It matches the Rfam family "5.8S ribosomal RNA", at positions 30 to 154 of the family's 154-position model. Rfam says of the family: 5.8S ribosomal RNA (5.8S rRNA) is a component of the large subunit of the eukaryotic ribosome. It is transcribed by RNA polymerase I as part of the 45S precursor that also contains 18S and 28S rRNA. Lineage: Eukaryota; Viridiplantae; Streptophyta; Magnoliopsida; Asterales; Asteraceae. The record is from RNAcentral.